CCUACGUGGAGCUGCAGUGGGGAAUAUUGCGCAAUGGGCGAAAGCCUGACGCAGCGACGCCGCGUGAGGGAUGAAGGUCUUCGGAUCGUAAACCUCUGUCAGCAGGGAAGAACGGACACUGUGCUAAUCAGCAGUGAAUUGACGGUACCUGCAAAGGAAGCACCGGCUAACUCCGUGCCAGCAGCCGCGGUAAUACGGAGGGUGCGAGCGUUAAUCGGAAUUACUGGGCGUAAAGCGCUCGUAGGCGGUAUGUCAAGUCAAGGGUGAAAUCCCCGCGCUCAACGUGGGAACUGCCUUUGAAACUGGCAAACUGGAGUGUGUGAGAGGAUAGUGGAAUUCCAGGUGUAGGAGUGAAAUCCGUAGAUAUCUGGAGGAACAUCAGUGGCGAAGGCGACUAUCUGGCACAUAACUGACGCUGAUGCGCGAAAGCGUGGGGAGCAAACAGGAUUAGAUACCCCAGUAGUC
Molecule: ribosomal RNA, 465 nt
Filed under: uncultured bacterium
Lineage: Bacteria
Description: partial 16S ribosomal RNA
Rfam family: Bacterial small subunit ribosomal RNA
Source: RNAcentral